Molecule: non-coding RNA, 426 nt
Organism: Lolium perenne
Lineage: Eukaryota; Viridiplantae; Streptophyta; Magnoliopsida; Poales; Poaceae
Source: RefSeq, a predicted model, not a curated record
CGGAGGCAGCGCUUGACGGCGGCGACGCGGCGGAGGUGGCGCAGCGACCCAAAAAGCUCUGCGGAAUGCGGCAAGAAGCCAUCGAGACUGGAUGAUGCGGAUACAUUGAGUGGUGUGAUCAACCCCCAACGUUGUCUAUUCGUGAUUUGCUUGAUGAUCUAUGGGAUGCUGUGUGGAGGCUGCAGGGGGAAAUGGUACUGCUAUUAUGCUCUGAGAGAGGAGCUACAAUUGAAGAAUGCCCAAAUGGAUGUAAUUAGGGAAAGAAACUGAGAGUGCACAGCAGAUGUGAGAUUGUUAUCCUGGUUUAGUGGCAGGAUUCAUGUCAAGGUAGCUCUAGCAAUGCAAUGUUAGAUUGUUAUCCAGGUUUAGUUCUGGCAAUGUAAUGUGUAGAAUCUGCAACUGAAUAAAGUCAGCAUUUUAUAUGAA